This 1281-nucleotide long non-coding RNA is filed under the name Strigops habroptila (Kakapo). RNAcentral's name for it is "lncRNA (ENSSHBG00005015774.1)". Lineage: Eukaryota; Metazoa; Chordata; Aves; Psittaciformes; Psittacidae. The record is from RNAcentral.
CUUGAAGCUCUUAGAUGAUCCUUUGCUGAACUGUUCACAUUUGUGAGGACUGAAUGCCAUGCUGUGAAUCAGCAGCAGGGCAAGCCAUAUGUUAGCUUCAUCUUGUAAAGUGCUGGGCAGCCUGAGCACCCUGGUGAGGCUUAGCUUCUCUCAACCUUGGGUUCAUGUUUCCAAGCCAUUUAAUAUGCAAACCUAAGCCUGUAGGACUAUAACAUUUACUGGAUUGCUGGAGAAUUCUAUGACGUGCAUGUAUAGGCAAGCUGCAUAAAACUGUUGUAUCAAGACCCAUUUUUUCCUGUGCUGUGCGUGGUUUUGAAAGUAAACGUGUUCCCUAAUUCUGAGAGGAUGAGAAGGCUGCAACUGCCUCAUGGACCUCCUCUUUCAGCCACCUGCCUGUCUUCUCAUUUAUGAAGCAUUUAGCUUUCCCAGAUGCAAGCCAAAUUUUAUUACAUAUCAUUCUGCACGUACAGUGCAUACCUUUACCGGUAUCUUGCUUGUUUAUGUGAAGACAACUUUGGCAGUUCUGUGUGCUGGUUACUAGCAAAGCUUUUAAAAUGCCAGCUUCAGCCAGAGUAGGAAAGUAGCUUUGUGGAAAGCUUCAUUAUUUUGGGAUUGGAAAUGGACAUGCUGGAAUAGUUCGCUGUCUUUAGAUGUUAAUUUAUAGGCUCAACUUAAUCCUUUAUGUGCCCUCAAAUCUGGAGUCUGUUAGAUGACUGUCUGCAGAAAUAUCUUUGGACUUAAGUGUGCUAGCUCUCGGUUUAUUUUGGAAAAAUACAAAGAGAGACCCUGAAAAGGGAUGGGCUGCCUUGCUGAUAAAUGGUUAAUAGCAUGGAAAUUUUAUUACAAACAGGUUACAGAAAAAUUAUGCUCUCUUCUGAUGAUAUGAACAGCUUGGUGAAUAAAGGUGAUAAUGAAAAAGGUGAAAUCAGCUCAGAAAAAUCACGUCUUUGCUCUGGCACUAAAUCAGAAAAUAACAGUUGGACAUUUUCUUGCUGGCUUAUGUGGAGGCAGGGUAAGGUACUGAACUUGAGCAUUAAACAAUGCGUUUUAAUAUGUUGGUUUUUCAUUUCCGGUAGAUUAAUGGUAGAUUCAAGACACCACUUCCAUUACCUUAUCUGUAUGAACUGGUGUUAGUGAACGUUAUAAAAAUCUAUUCUUAGGGCUAGGUUAAAAAAGAAAAAGAAGUCAGCACAUCUGUAAUCAUAACUGGUUGCUUGAUACCUAUUUGCAUACAAUCCUCCCUUCCUUCUGGUAUACUUUUUUACAGUAAUGCUGCGGCAG